RNAcentral lists this ribosomal RNA (253 nucleotides) under uncultured prokaryote. RNAcentral's name for it is "partial 16S ribosomal RNA". It matches the Rfam family "Bacterial small subunit ribosomal RNA", at positions 524 to 776 of the family's 1533-position model. The record is from RNAcentral.
UACGAAGGGGGCUAGCGUUGCUCGGAAUUACUGGGCGUAAAGGGUGUGUAGGCGGAUACUUAAGUCGGGGGUGAAAGCCCAGGGCUCAACCCUGGAAUAGCCUUCGAUACUGGGUAUCUUGGGUUCGGGAGAGGUAAGCGGAACUCCGAGUGUAGAGGUGAAAUUCGUAGAUAUUCGGAAGAACACCAGUGGCGAAGGCGGCUUACUGGCCCGAUACUGACGCUGAAACACGAAAGCGUGGGGAGCAAACAGG